RNAcentral lists this ribosomal RNA (446 nucleotides) under uncultured bacterium. Its description in RNAcentral is "bacterial SSU rRNA". It matches the Rfam family "Bacterial small subunit ribosomal RNA", at positions 329 to 792 of the family's 1533-position model. The record is from RNAcentral.
AUCCAGACUCCUACGGGAGGCAGCAGUGGGGAAUAUUGCACAAUGGGGGAAACCCUGAUGCAGCGACGCCGCGUGGAGGAAGAAGGUCUUCGGAUUGUAAACUCCUGUCCUUGGGGACGAUAAUGACGGUACCCAAGGAGGAAGCACCGGCUAACUACGUGCCAGCAGCCGCGGUAAAACGUAGGGUGCAAGCGUUGUCCGGAAUUACUGGGUGUAAAGGGAGCGCAGGCGGAUUGACAAGUUGGGAGUGAAAACUACGGGCUCAACCCGUAACCUGCUUUCAAAACUGUCAGUCUUGAGUGGUGUAGAGGUAGGCGGAAUUCCCGGUGUAGCGGUGGAAUGCGUAGAUAUCACGCAGACCCCCGAUUGCGAAGGCAGCAUACCGGUGCACAACUGACGCUCAGGCACGAAAGCGUGGGAAUCGAACAGGAUUAGAUCCCCUAGUA